Long non-coding RNA from Benincasa hispida (wax gourd), 823 nucleotides. RefSeq lists it as uncharacterized. NCBI's taxonomy places the organism in Eukaryota, Viridiplantae, Streptophyta, Magnoliopsida, Cucurbitales, Cucurbitaceae. The record is from RefSeq and is a predicted model, not a curated record.
AAAAAGAACCUUUCUCCUUCGUGAAAAUGUGACCCCCCUCCUUAGCCGUUGAAACCUCAUGCCACUCGAUGUUUGCCAUCGUCUGGACCUGUUCGGAGCUGAAGUCGAACGCCAGAUCUGAGUCAGUCGCGCCUUAGUGCCCGCGUGUCGCUCUUUGUCUACGUUCCGAAGCCACCAGCGCUAUUUCUAGCCCGCGUCGUGCCAGAUCUGGAGUUUACCAGCCCCAACUUCAGCGUCAGCCACUCCCUCACACAACCUCGUUUGCCGCUCGUCCAGCGUGCCGCUCAGUCCAUCACUACUCCUCAUCGCCGUUCGCGUCGGAGCCUGUCGAGCGCCUCUGUUCUUCAGCUGUGACUCCCUAGUCAAGCCGCUCGUUUAGAUCUUCUCCGCCGCCCGAGCCCAGCCAUUGAUCUCCGUCGGUCAUUGCCUUCCUUCGUCGCUAUUCGUCGGAUUUUAGCUUAUGGUGAAGUUUUGGAUUCAAGCAUUGGAGGAAUUUUAAGGUCGAAGUGUAUUGUCAGGCAUUGCACAGGAUUAAGUUGGAUUCGCAAAUGGAUUUGAGUUUGAAACUAAUUUUUGACCAAGCAACAUUUUGGUUGAGGCAUUUGUUUGAGAUUGAAGGUAGUUUGGAACAAACUACACUUUGGACUUUAGAUUCAAGUUUUGGAGAAGUUUUGAAUUUAGAAGCAAACAACUUGAAUUUGAUUCAGACAAAAAUUUAGGUGUUAGAACUUUGAGGUGAUCUCUGUCAAACCACUAUUGGGUAAAGGUAGAGAUGCACCAGCGAUUGACAAGCGGAAUCCGUGAUCGAGCCACUGGGACCAGU